This 418-nucleotide ribosomal RNA is filed under the name uncultured bacterium. Its description in RNAcentral is "partial 16S ribosomal RNA". It matches the Rfam family "Bacterial small subunit ribosomal RNA", at positions 361 to 776 of the family's 1533-position model. The record is from RNAcentral.
AUAUUGGUCAAUGGAGGCAACCCUGAACCAGCCAAGUCGCGUCAUGGCUGAAGGUCUUCUCGAUUGUAAACUUCUUUUCCAAGGGGCUAAAGAUGGGGACGUGUCCUCGUUUGCAUGUACCUUGUGAAUAAGGAUCGGCUAACUCCGUGCUACCAGCCGCGGCAAUACGGAGGAUCCGAGCGUUAUCCGGAUUUAUUGGGUUUAAAGGGUGCGCAGGCGGGAUGUUAAGUCGGCGGUGAAAUUUUGCAGCUCAACUGUAAAAGUGCCUUCGAUACUGGCUUUCUUGAGUGUGGAUGAAGUAGGCGGAAUUUGUGGUGUAGCGGUGAAAUGAUUAGAUAUCACGAGGAACUCCGAUUGCGCAGGCAGCUUAUUAAACCACGACUGACGCUCAUGCACGAAGGCGUGGGGAUCAAACAGG